GACGAACGCUGGCGGCGUGCUUAACACAUGCAAGUCGAACGGUGAAGGGAUCAGCUUGCUGGUUCUGGAUGAGUGGCGAACGGGUGAGUAACACGUGAGUAACCUGCCCCCUUCUUCUGGAUAACCGCAUGAAAGUGUGGCUAAUACGGGAUAUUCUGGGUCUGUCGCAUGAUGGGUCUGGGAAAGAUAUUGUUUCGGUGGGGGAUGGGCUCGCGGCCUAUCAGCUUGUUGGUGGGGUGAUGGCCUACCAAGGCGGUGACGGGUAGCCGGCCUGAGAGGGUGGACGGUCACACUGGGACUGGGACACGGCCCAGACUCCUACGGGAGGCAGCAGUGGGGAAUAGUGCACAAUGGGCGCAAGCCUGAUGCAGCGACGCCGCGUGAGGGAUGGAGGCCUUCGGGUUGUAAACCUCUUUCGCCAGUGAAGCAGGCCUGCUCCUUGUGGGUGGGUUGACGGUAGCUGGAGAAGAAGCGCCGGCUAACUACGUG
RNAcentral lists this ribosomal RNA (489 nucleotides) under uncultured bacterium. RNAcentral's name for it is "partial 16S ribosomal RNA". It matches the Rfam family "Bacterial small subunit ribosomal RNA", at positions 28 to 507 of the family's 1533-position model. The record is from RNAcentral.